GACGAACGCUGGCGGCGUGCUUAACACAUGCAAGUCGAACGGUAAGGCCCUUCGGGGUACACGAGUGGCGAACGGGGGAGUAACACGUGGGUGAUCUGCCCUGCACUUCGGGAUAAGCCUGGGAAACUGGGUCUAAUACCGGAUAGGACUCCGGACUGCAUGGUCUGGGGUGGAAAGCUUUUGCGGUGUGGGAUGGGCCCGCGGCCUAUCAGCUUGUUGGUGGGGUGAUGGCCUACCAAGGCGACGACGGGUAGCCGGCCUGAGAGGGUGACCGGCCACACUGGGACUGAGAUACGGCGCAGAGUCCUACGGGAGGCAGCAGUGGGGAAUAUUGCACAAUGGGCGCAAGCCUGAUGCAGCGACGCCGCGUGAGGGAUGACGGCCUUCGGGUUGUAAACCUCUUUCAGCAUCGACGAAGCGAAAGUGACGGUAGGUGCAGAAGAAGGACCGGCCAACUACGUGCCAGCCGCCGCCGUAA
RNAcentral lists this ribosomal RNA (478 nucleotides) under uncultured bacterium. Its description in RNAcentral is "partial 16S ribosomal RNA". It matches the Rfam family "Bacterial small subunit ribosomal RNA", at positions 28 to 523 of the family's 1533-position model. The record is from RNAcentral.